GAGACAUUCAACUGUACUAUUGAUGCUACUGUGAUGAUAAAUAUGUGCAGUUUUCUUCGUCAUUGAGCUAUACAUUGUGCAUGAGUUUAUGCAGGUAAUAACAUUUCAAUACGAUAUAUGAUAUCAGCUGAAGUGACAAAAGAUUACUCCUUAAGACUACUGAACCAGUUGGCAAUGGUUGUACAUAGGCCCUUUGUGUCAUUUAUCGAAAGAGUCUUAACCACUUGAGCAAUAGCAUCUGCUGGAGUGUAUACAGCUCCUACUCGCCAUUUUGGUUCCUGUACACAUGGUGUGAUGUGGUUCCCGGUUAAUGCAAUUUUCUCCACUUUCCCACCAAAAGAUUCUACACGAGGCUUUAGUGUCUCUUCAAGCCGAUCUGUCUCAUCAAUCGCGUCAUUGUCAAAUUUCACCAGCAGUGUACGGUUGACAUUAUAGGCGUUUUUGAAACACUCCAGAUUUUCUGAAGGUGUUGGCUUAAACUCUGAUAUCCCUUGAGCAAGCUCGCCAAAUACCAAAGGCAGCUGAUCAGCAAAUUUAGUCAAUGAAACAACUGUUUCUGGAUCAUAGUCGGGGAUGAUUGUUCCAGCUGUAUCAAGCAACACCCUCAACGCAUCUCCUGAAGCCGAUUGAGCCAUUGAAUAUGCUGGAGAUAUAACAGGCACCAUCUGGCCAACAAGAAGACCCAACUGCUCAAAAUAUGGCACUGCCUCUGAUGCUGGCCUAUUGUUGUACGAUAUUAUAACAUUAGCCUUAGGUAUCUUCUCACAAAAAUAACUUCCUACAAGCGCUUGAAUAAGAGCACCAUUACUGUGGCCAACUGAAUAGAGUGGCAAAUCAACAAUGUCAUCAGCAGAAAGACCAGAAUCAGGCAACCCUGAUGCUAAAAUUGGAUCAAAACAAGCAUGAAACCUCUCAAAAACCUGUCUUGAUACUUGCGCAUGAUCAAAUGUCACAUUAUAAGGUACACAAAUUAUCAGAUACCCUUCUCUCGCCAAAUUCUCCAGUAAAUAACUGUAAGUAACUUCAGGAACAGCUCCAAUAAAAGCACCACCCACAAAUUUGAUAAUAGCUUUGGGUUUUAUACCCUUUGGGGGAGGUAUAACCAAACAAGAAUCCAUCCUUUUGUAAAACUUACCAGUAGUGGGAGUAUUGUAAUUGGUUCUUGUGGAGUUGAAACUACCUAUGCCCAUAUAGUCAUUUGAGAGCGUCAUUUUAGGAAACUUGAAGAUCUUUGGGUUCUUGAGAUUUCUGGGAGAAAAGGGGCGGAAUAAAUAUGGAAAAUUGUUUGGGAAAAGGGGUUUUUGCUUGGUUUCAAGAAGAUUAGAAGUGAAAGUAGUGGUAGCCAUGUAAGCUGCAGAAGUAGAAGUCAUUUCUCUACUGUGAGAGUGAAGAAGAAGCAGUGAGGGAAAAUGGAAAGUUUU
This 1421-nucleotide unclassified non-coding RNA is filed under the name Hevea brasiliensis (rubber tree). The record is from RNAcentral. Lineage: Eukaryota; Viridiplantae; Streptophyta; Magnoliopsida; Malpighiales; Euphorbiaceae.